UACGGAAGGCAGCAGUGGGGAAUAUUGCACAAUGGGCGCAAGCCUGAUGCAGCCAUGCCGCGUGUAUGAAAAAGGCCUUCGGGUUGUAAAGUACUUUCAGUCGUGAGGAAGGUGUUAAGGUUAAUAACCUUAGCAAUUGACGUUAGCGACAGAAGAAGCACCGGCUAACUCCGUGCCAGCAGCCGCGGUAAUACGGAGGGUGCGAGCGUUAAUCGGAAUUACUGGGCGUAAAGGGCACGCAGGCGGUUAAUUAAGUUGGAUGUGAAAUCCCCGGGCUUAACCUGGGAAUGGCAUUCAAGACUGGUUAGCUAGAGUCUUGUAGAGGGGGUAGAAUUCCAUGUGUAGCGGUGAAAUGCGUAGAGAUGUGGAGGAAUACCAGUGGCGAAGGCGGCCCCUGGACAAAGACUGACGCUCAUGUGCGAAAGCGUGGGGAGCGAAAC
RNAcentral lists this ribosomal RNA (440 nucleotides) under uncultured bacterium. Its description in RNAcentral is "bacterial SSU rRNA". It matches the Rfam family "Bacterial small subunit ribosomal RNA", at positions 340 to 774 of the family's 1533-position model. The record is from RNAcentral.